Molecule: ribosomal RNA, 460 nt
Filed under: uncultured bacterium
Lineage: Bacteria
Description: partial 16S ribosomal RNA
Rfam family: Bacterial small subunit ribosomal RNA
Source: RNAcentral
CCUACGGGAGGCUGCAGUGAGGAAUAUUGGUCAAUGGACGAAAGUCUGAACCAGCCAAGUCGCGUGAAGGAUGACUGCCCUAUGGGUUGUAAACUGCUUUUGUAAGAGGGUAAAACCAGACACGUGUACCUGUUUGAAUGUACCUUAUGAAUAAGGAUCGGCUAACUCCGUGCCAGCAGCCGCGGUAAUACGGAGGAUCCGAGCGUUAUCCGGAUUUAUUGGGUUUAAAGGGAGCGUAGAUGGUCUGUUAAGUCAGUUGUGAAAGUUCGCGGCUCAACCGUAAAAUUGCAUUUGAUACUGGCAGUCUUGAGUGUAGUUGAGGUAGGCGGAAUGUGUGGUGUAGCGGUGAAAUGCUUAGAUAUCACGAAGAACCCCGAUUGCGAAGGCAGCUUACUAAACUGCGACUGACGUUGAGGCACGAAAGCGUGGGUAGCAAACAGGAUUAGAUACCCGGGUAGUC